AGAACUUGUGACUCAUUAAAGCAACAAAUACGAACAAGAUCGAUAUCACCCUCCUGAACCACUCCGAGCACUAUUGGCCUGCAAAAAAAAAUCAUCUGAUCCAAGCCGGGAAAGAGGGGAGCCCCGGGGAAACGGGCUCUGGCGCAAGACCCUCAGGUUGAAGAUGAUGUCAAACUUGAUUGAACGUCCACCUUUGAUGGCUUUACCUGAGACCUAACAACAUCUGCGUCUUACUCACAGUAGCUCUGAAAGGUGAUACGUGUGGAGGAGCAAAGCCGCCUGCCAUCCGCGCCCAGAUAGGGAGACGCGAGCUCCAACCAAAACAUCAGAGCUUCAGGAAUCAAUAAAAUGCUUUUUUU
Molecule: long non-coding RNA, 359 nt
Organism: Oxyura jamaicensis (ruddy duck)
Lineage: Eukaryota; Metazoa; Chordata; Aves; Anseriformes; Anatidae
Exons: 2
Source: RefSeq, a predicted model, not a curated record